AAAAAAAAACCAGAAAUUCUCUCACACCCUCUCCCCAUUUUCUAGAAGCCGGCCAGAGACCCGGCGAGCUGCCCCGCCGCCGCGCCGCCGUACCGGCCACCGUACACCGUACACGGUGGCCGAAAAAAUCCAAAAGAGGUGGGCAGGUGAGGACGGAUGUGACCGUGGCGGUGCAAGUCGGCGACGUCGGCAGAGGCUAGGUGCGGGGACAGAGCUAGGAACCCCUAGGUGCGGCGCACCUAGGGUUUGACAUUGUUUCUGAUUUGUUUUAAAAAUGAAACAUCAAAUUAUGAUAAAUUAAAAUAUAGGGAUCUACUCUAAAAUUUAAGCAUAUUAGAGAUAUCAAAAUUAUAAUUUAAUAUUAAAAUUAUUUGAUGAUUUAUUGUCUCUGUUUGUCGGUAAAAAAGUAAAGAUGGUGAAAGUUUUAAAAUAAAUUAUGAUUAUGUUUUUAAUGAUAAAAUCGAUUGUGGUAUAUCCCAAAUCUACGGAUAUAUAAAUAAAAUCUCAGUGGUUUGAUGGCUUUUGGUAUA
Gossypium raimondii (Peruvian cotton) is the source of this 530-nucleotide long non-coding RNA. RefSeq lists it as uncharacterized. NCBI's taxonomy places the organism in Eukaryota, Viridiplantae, Streptophyta, Magnoliopsida, Malvales, Malvaceae. The record is from RefSeq and is a predicted model, not a curated record. The transcript has 2 exons.